GACGAACGCUGGCGGCGUGCUUAACACAUGCAAGUCGAACGGAAAGGCCCUGCUUUUGUGGGGUGCUCGAGUGGCGAACGGGUGAGUAACACGUGAGUAACCUGCCCUUGACUUUGGGAUAACUUCAGGAAACUGGGGCUAAUACCGGAUAGGAGCUCCUGCUGCAUGGUGGGGGUUGGAAAGUUUCGGCGGUUGGGGAUGGACUCGCGGCUUAUCAGCUUGUUGGUGGGGUAGUGGCUUACCAAGGCUUUGACGGGUAGCCGGCCUGAGAGGGUGACCGGCCACAUUGGGACUGAGAUACGGCCCAGACUCCUACGGGAGGCAGCAGUGGGGAAUAUUGCACAAGGGGCGGAAGCCUGAUGCAGCAACGCCGCGUGCGGGAUGACGGCCUUCGGGUGGUAAACCGCUUUCGCCUGUGACGAAGCGUGAGUGACGGUAAUGGGUAAAGAAGCACCGGCUAACUACGUG
This 468-nucleotide ribosomal RNA is filed under the name uncultured bacterium. Its description in RNAcentral is "partial 16S ribosomal RNA". It matches the Rfam family "Bacterial small subunit ribosomal RNA", at positions 28 to 507 of the family's 1533-position model. The record is from RNAcentral.